This 784-nucleotide ribosomal RNA is filed under the name uncultured bacterium. Its description in RNAcentral is "bacterial SSU rRNA". It matches the Rfam family "Bacterial small subunit ribosomal RNA", at positions 9 to 748 of the family's 1533-position model. The record is from RNAcentral.
GAGUUUGAUCCUGGCUCAGAACGAACGCUGGCGGCGUGGCUAAGGCAUGCAAGUCGAACGGGCCAUGAGGAUGGUAACUGAAUCAUGGUUAGUGGCGCACGGGUGAGGAAUACAUGGGUAACGUACCUUUGGCUCAGGGAUAGCGGCGCCCUUCGGGGCUUUAGCGAAAGUGCCGGUAAUACCUGAUGAAAUCCGGAGAUUACAUGGUUUCCGGAUCAAAGGGGGGGCUCCUUCGGGACCUCCUGCUUGGGGAUGAGCUUAUGUCCUAUUAGCUAGUUGGUGAGGUAAUGGCUCACCAAGGCGAUGAUGGGUAGCCGAGCUGAGAGGCUGAUCGGCCACACUGGAACUGAAACACGGUCCAGACUCCUACGGGAGGCAGCAGUGGGGAAUUUUGCGCAAUGGGCGAAAGCCUGACGCAGCGACGCCGCGUGAGGGAUGAAGGUUCUCGGAUCGUAAACCUCUGUCAGGAAGGAUUAAAUGCAUGGAUGCAAAUACCAUCCAUGCUUGACUUAACUUCCAAAGGAAGCCCCGGCUAACUACGUGCCAGCAGCCGCGGUAAUACGUAGGCAGCAAGCGUUGUUCGGAAUUACUGGGCGUAAAGAGUGUGUAGGUGGUGUCGUAAGUUUGGUGUGAAAUCUCCCGGCUUAACUGGGAGGGUGCGCCGAAGACUGCGAUGCUGGAGUAUGGGAGAGGAAAGCGGAAUUCCUGGUGUAGCGGUGAAAUGCGUAGAUAUCANGAGGAACACCUGCGGUGUAGACGGCUUUCUGGACCAUUACUGACACUG